RNAcentral lists this unclassified non-coding RNA (266 nucleotides) under Hevea brasiliensis (rubber tree). The record is from RNAcentral. Lineage: Eukaryota; Viridiplantae; Streptophyta; Magnoliopsida; Malpighiales; Euphorbiaceae.
GAAAAUGUUAAUAAAAAAAGAAAAUUUAAGAGAAAGCAGUUAAAUAAAGAAACGCUAAUCCGAUAAUAAUAAGUAAUUUUCAUAUUAUGAAAACGUCAUUUAAAUUGAUAUUUUUAUGAACACUUGUAAAAUAGUCAAACUGAUUUGAUUGACAAUGUCGAUUCAAUUAUUAUUUUCAAAAGUAAAAGUAAUCCCUCAUUUUACGCACAUCUUCACGUGAAACCUACUUAUUAAAUUAAUAUUUUUGACAUUUUCUUAAAUUUUUU